UACGGGGGGGGCAAGCGUUGUUCGGAAUUACUGGGCGUAAAGCGCGUGUAGGUGGCCUUGUCAGUCUGAUGUGAAAGCCCAGGGCUCAACCCUGGAAGUGCAUCGGAUACUACAAGGCUGGAGUACUGAAGAGGAUAGCGGAAUUCCCGGUGUAGAGGUGAAAUUCGUAGAUAUCGGGAGGAACACCAGUGGCGAAGGCGGCUAUCUGGGCAGAUACUGACACUGAGACGCGAAAGCGUGGGGAGCAAACAGG
RNAcentral lists this ribosomal RNA (253 nucleotides) under uncultured bacterium. RNAcentral describes it as "partial 16S ribosomal RNA". It matches the Rfam family "Bacterial small subunit ribosomal RNA", at positions 524 to 776 of the family's 1533-position model. The record is from RNAcentral.